GCCGGAGUGGUGAAAUUGGUAGACGCAGGGGACUCAAAAUCCCCCGCCCGCGAGGGCGUGCCGGUUCGAUUCCGGCCUCCGGCACCA
This 87-nucleotide transfer RNA is filed under the name Ramlibacter aquaticus. Its description in RNAcentral is "tRNA-Leu". It matches the Rfam family "tRNA". Rfam says of the family: Transfer RNA (tRNA) molecules are approximately 80 nucleotides in length. Their secondary structure includes four short double-helical elements and three loops (D, anti-codon, and T loops). Lineage: Bacteria; Pseudomonadati; Pseudomonadota; Betaproteobacteria; Burkholderiales; Comamonadaceae. The record is from RNAcentral.